UUUUAAUGAGAGUUUGAUCCUGGCUCAGGAUGAACGCUGGCGGCGUGCCUAAUACAUGCAAGUAGAACGCUGAAGGAAGGAGCUUGCUCUUUCCGGAUGAGUUGCGAACGGGUGAGUAACGCGUAGGUAACCUGCCUCUUAGCGGGGGAUAACUAUUGGAAACGAUAGCUAAUACCGCAUAA
This 182-nucleotide ribosomal RNA is filed under the name Streptococcus sp. IMAU 99161. RNAcentral describes it as "partial 16S ribosomal RNA". It matches the Rfam family "Bacterial small subunit ribosomal RNA", at positions 1 to 176 of the family's 1533-position model. The record is from RNAcentral. Lineage: Bacteria; Bacillati; Bacillota; Bacilli; Lactobacillales; Streptococcaceae.